UUAGGAAUUUAUGUGUCACGGUUCCCUUUUUGUCACAAGUAACACAAAUCAUGAGUCACAAAUUUGUACGUUUUUAGAUAUUUUUUACACCCAAAUUACAACAACCCUAUAAGUUCAUUAUUAAUCAUGUAAAAUGCCCCGAUGUUAUCACCCCCUAAUCUACAUAGUUUGUAACAUAUGCACUAUAUAUAUUAUUAUAAACUACACUAUUCCUGGCCUGGAAAAAUCCGAAAAAACAUUAAACAUUUUUUCUAUGUCUGAACUAUACUUGCCAGAGAAAGCUUGUUUUAAUGUACAGUAUUCGAAAAUAGGUACAGUAUUUUAUUUACUACGAUCCUGACGAAUACACUAGCUUUUGAACAAAUGCACUUGUCAUAGAAAAAAUUGCCAAAGUACAAAUUUUGUUCGUCUGUACGGGUCAACGGAGAAAAUUUGGCGAAGUAUUCUGAGCGCUUGCAUGCGACUGACCAGCGAUCUAUUGUUGUAUUAGCUAAUAAUAGCUAUCGCGAUCAAAUAGCUAUCAGAAAACCAAGGCUUGUGUCAUAGAAAAUUUAUUGUACGUUACGUACACCACUGAUCUCCAAAUCUGGACCGGAUGGAGUAUCCUUUUGAAUUUGAAGCGUGAAUAUUUGUAAUGAGAAGAGAUUUUUAAAUCUGUCAAAUUAUCCAAGUUUCAAAUUUUUAGGUAUUAAAAUAAGCUUGACUAUCAAGCAGAUGUCUUUGCCCAUGUAACGUGAAAGAUGUAGCUUAACACACCCCUUGUAACGAGUUUUAGAACGUUUUUAAAAUACUCGAGAAGGCCAUAUUCGUGUGACUUUUUUAGUUUUUACCAGCAGUUUUAAGACGAAAGAAAGGCCACUGAUGACAAAUUUCUAUCUAUCGAUAGUAUAUGUUCUUUUCCAACAACAACGAUAAACUACUAGACUGCUCUUCCAACAUCAAUACCCUGAAUACCACAGUCAAGAUUCGUAGUGAUCACAUCAAUAUGGCCGCCAUUGGUUUUAUUCACGCAUAGCGGAUGUAGAAGAGAUCUGCAGAUGGAAACUUCGAAUGUACAUUUAUUGGACCUAACCAGAAACAGUGGUGAAAAAUGCAACUAUAGGCCCUCCAAU
This is a non-coding RNA of Paramuricea clavata, 1112 nucleotides long. The record is from the annotation of a GenBank genome assembly. NCBI's taxonomy places the organism in Eukaryota, Metazoa, Cnidaria, Anthozoa, Malacalcyonacea, Plexauridae.